This 458-nucleotide ribosomal RNA is filed under the name uncultured bacterium. Its description in RNAcentral is "bacterial SSU rRNA". It matches the Rfam family "Bacterial small subunit ribosomal RNA", at positions 924 to 1382 of the family's 1533-position model. The record is from RNAcentral.
CACAAGCAGUGGAGUAUGUGGUUUAAUUCGAAGCAACGCGAAGAACCUUUACCAGGGCUUGACAUCCCUUGAAGCAGCUAGAGAUAGCUGUGUCCUUCGGGACAAGGAGACAGGUGGUGCAUGGUUGUCGUCAGCUCGUGUCGUGAGAUGUUGGGUUAAGUCCCGCAACGAGCGCAACCCCUGUGGUUAGUUGCCAGCAAGUAGCGUUGGGCACUCUAGCCAGACUGCCGGUGAUAAAUCGGAGGAAGGUGGGGACGACGUCAAAUCAUCAUGCCCUUUAUGUCCUGGGCUACACACGUACUACAAUGGCCGUUACAACGGGAAGCGAAGGAGCAAUCCGGAGCAAAUCCCUUAAAGGCGGUCCCAGUUCAGAUUGUGGGCUGAAACUCGCCCACAUGAAGGCGGAAUUGCUAGUAAUUGCAGAUCAGCAUGCUGCAGUGAAUACGUUCCCGGGCCUU